Molecule: ribosomal RNA, 464 nt
Filed under: uncultured bacterium
Lineage: Bacteria
Description: partial 16S ribosomal RNA
Rfam family: Bacterial small subunit ribosomal RNA
Source: RNAcentral
CUACGGGUCGCACCAGUGGGGAAUAUUGCACAAUGGGCGCAAGCCUGAUGCAGCCAUGCCGCGUGUAUGAAGAAGGCCUUAGGGUUGUAAAGUACUUUCAGCGGGGAGGAAGGGAGUAAAGUUAAUACCUUUGCUCAUUGACGUUACCCGCAGAAGAAGCACCGGCUAACUCCGUGCCAGCAGCCGCGGUAAUACGGAGGGUGCAAGCGUUAAUCGGAAUUACUGGGUGUAAAGCGCACGCAGGCGGUUUGUUAAGUCAGAUGUGAAAUCCCCGGGCUCAACCUGGGAACUGCAUCUGAUACUGGCAAGCUUGAGUCUCGUAGAGGGGGGUAGAAUUCCAGGUGUAGCGGUGAAAUGCGUAGAGAUCUGGAGGAAUACCGGUGGCGAAGGCGGCCCCCUGGACGAAGACUGACGCUCAGGUGCGAACGCGUGGGGAGCAAACAGGAUUAGAUACCCGGGUAGUC